Molecule: ribosomal RNA, 403 nt
Filed under: Fusobacteriota bacterium
Lineage: Bacteria; Fusobacteriati; Fusobacteriota
Description: Fusobacteria bacterium partial 16S ribosomal RNA
Rfam family: Bacterial small subunit ribosomal RNA
Source: RNAcentral
UGGGGAAUUUUGCACAAUGGAGGAAACUCUGAUGCAGCGACGCCGCGUGAGUGAUGAAGAUCUUCGGAUUGUAAAACUCUGUCCUUAGUGAAGAUAAUGACAGUAACUAAGAAGCAAGCCCUGGCUAAAUACGUGCCAGCAGCCGCGGUAAUACGUAUGGGGCAAGCGUUGUCCGGAAUUAUUGGGCGUAAAGGGUACGUAGGCGGUUUAAUAAGUCCUAAUUAAAAGGCUAUGACUCAACCAUAGUAUGGUUAGGAAACUGUUGAACUUGAGUAGAUGAGGGGAAAGUGGAAUUCCAUGUGUAGCGGUGAGAUGCGUAGAUAUAUGGAGGAACACCAAUGGCGAAGGCAACUUUCUGGAAUCAAACUGACGCUGAGGUACGAAGGCGUGGGGAGCAAACAGG